RNAcentral lists this ribosomal RNA (1346 nucleotides) under uncultured bacterium. RNAcentral describes it as "partial 16S ribosomal RNA". It matches the Rfam family "Bacterial small subunit ribosomal RNA", at positions 28 to 1381 of the family's 1533-position model. The record is from RNAcentral.
GACGAACGCUGGCGGCGUGCUUAACACAUGCAAGUCGAACGGAAAGGCCCUGCUUUUGUGGGGUGCUCGAGUGGCGAACGGGUGAGUAACACGUGAGUAACCUGCCCUUGACUUUGGGAUAACUUCAGGAAACUGGGGCUAAUACCGGAUAGGAGCUCCUGCUGCACGGUGGGGGUUGGAAAGUUUCGGCGGUUGGGGAUGGACUCGCGGCUUAUCAGCUUGUUGGUGGGGUAGUGGCUUACCAAGGCUUUGACGGGUAGCCGGCCUGAGAGGGUGACCGGCCACAUUGGGACUGAGAUACGGCCCAGACUCCUACGGGAGGCAGCAGUGGGGAAUAUUGCACAAUGGGCGGAAGCCCGAUGCAGCAACGCCGCGUGCGGGAUGACGGCCUUCGGGUUGUAAACCGCUUUCGCCUGUGACGAAGCGUGAGUGACGGUAAUGGGUAAAGAAGCACCGGCUAACUACGUGCCAGCAGCCGCGGUGAUACGUAGGGUGCGAGCGUUGUCCGGAUUUAUUGGGCGUAAAGGGCUCGUAGGUGGUUGAUCGCGUCGGAAGUGUAAUCUUGGGGCUUAACCCUGAGCGUGCUUUCGAUACGGGUUGACUUGAGGAAGGUAGGGGAGAAUGGAAUUCCUGGUGGAGCGGUGGAAUGCGCAGAUAUCAGGAGGAACACCAGUGGCGAAGGCGGUUCUCUGGGCCUUUCCUGACGCUGAGGAGCGAAAGCGUGGGGAGCGAACAGGCUUAGAUACCCUGGUAGUCCACGCUGUAAACGGUGGGUACUAGGUGUGGGGUCCAUUCCACGGGUUCCGUGCCGUAGCUAACGCUUUAAGUACCCCGCCUGGGGAGUACGGCCGCAAGGCUAAAACUCAAAGGAAUUGACGGGGCCCCGCACAAGCGGCGGAGCAUGCGGAUUAAUUCGAUGCAACGCGUAGAACCUUACCUGGGUUUGACAUGGAUCGGGAGUGCUCAGAGAUGGGUGUGCCUCUUUUGGGGUCGGUUCACAGGUGGUGCAUGGCUGUCGUCAGCUCGUGUCGUGAGAUGUUGGGUUAAGUCCCGCAACGAGCGCAACCCCUGUUCACUGUUGCCAGCACGUUAUGGUGGGGACUCAGUGGAGACCGCCGGGGUCAACUCGGAGGAAGGUGGGGAUGACGUCAAGUCAUCAUGCCCCUUAUGUCCAGGGCUUCACGCAUGCUACAAUGGCUGGUACAGAGAGUGGCGAGCCUGUGAGGGUGAGCGAAUCUCGGAAAGCCGGUCUCAGUUCGGAUUGGGGUCUGCAACUCGACCUCAUGAAGUCGGAGUCGCUAGUAAUCGCAGAUCAGCAACGCUGCGGUGAAUACGUUCCCGGGGCU